UGCUUCGCACGUUUUCGUAUCCGCCGCACUUGUGCAAAAACUGGGUUUACAGCCCCUCACUAGCCACGUAGCUACUUGCGUGCUAGGAGAUGGCGCAAAUAGCGUCCGCCUCCAAGGUCAGGUGCAUAUGUCGCUCCGUAUUCACGGAUUCCGCUGCGAAAUCGUAGCACAAGUUAUCCCUAAGCUAGCCGAUGGCAUCGACCUAAUUCUCGGCAGCCGUUGGAUGCGAGAGCACAGUGCAUUACUAGACUUUGGACAAGGCACCUGCAUGGUGACGCGCCACGGCCGCUCAUAUCGGCUGCAGAGCCUAAACAGGCCGCAGUCCGAAGGUGUUGCGGUCAUGAACUACGUGACGGCGGUCUUACACGCGGCCACUUCACCUUGCGCGAACCUGGUGUCUCUAAAGCAGAUUAAAAAGCUGCAGAAACAAGGAGCGUCUUGUUACGCUGCCUUCAUAACCAGUGACGAUAUCGCCCAGCUAAACGCUAUGGACGCCACAACGGCGACCACGUCCGACCCUACCCUGGUGUCGCCAGAUAAACUGGAAGAACUGCUGGACGAAUAUAAGGAGGUUUUUGAGCCCUUAACGGGCCUCGGGCCGGAUCUCGGCACUGGCCACACAAUCGAGCUAGAAACUGGCAAAAAGCCACCGUACUCCCGGCCGUACCGACUUUCCCAGUUGGAGCAAACGGAGUUGAAAAAGCAGCUCGCGGACUUACUGGCCAAAGGCUUCAUCGAGGAAUCAAAAUCGCCCUUCGGCGCGCCCGUACUCUUCGCACAAAAGAAGGACGGCUCGCUGCGUAUGUGCCUCGACUUCCGCGCCCUCAACAAAAUCACCGUAAAAAACCGGUAUCCACUUCCAAACAUCACCGACCUCCUCAACAAACUUCAGGGUGCGAGCAUAUUCUCGUCCCUCGACCUACAAAGCGGCUAUCAUCAAAUCCGCAUCACGGAGGAGGACAUCCCCAAAACCAGCUUCAUAACACCCUUCGGACNNNNNNNNNNNNNNNNNNNNNNNNNNNNNNNNNNNNNNNNNNNNNNNNNNGGAAAAGUCCAAGUGUUCUGCACUAGAACCUCUGACUGAAAACACCGCGCUACUACUACCGUGCAACUUUACUAGCACAAAAGCUGUCGCCUUAGUCGACUCAGGUGCUUCGCACGUUUUCGUAUCCGCCGCACUUGUGCAAAAACUGGGUUUACAGCCCCUCACUAGCCACGUAGCUACUUGCGUGCUAGGAGAUGGCGCAAAUAGCGUCCGCCUCCAAGGUCAGGUGCAUAUGUCGCUCCGUAUCCACGGAUUCCGCUGCGAAAUCGUAGCACAAGUUAUCCCUAAGCUAGCCGAUGGCAUCGACCUAAUUCUCGGCAGCCGUUGGAUGCGAGAGCACAGUGCAUUACU
This 1396-nucleotide long non-coding RNA is filed under the name Volvox carteri. Its description in RNAcentral is "long non-coding RNA (VCAR_LNC003846)". Lineage: Eukaryota; Viridiplantae; Chlorophyta; Chlorophyceae; Chlamydomonadales; Volvocaceae. The record is from RNAcentral.